This is a long non-coding RNA of Sorghum bicolor (sorghum), 1369 nucleotides long. RefSeq lists it as uncharacterized. The transcript has 7 exons. The record is from RefSeq and is a predicted model, not a curated record. Lineage: Eukaryota; Viridiplantae; Streptophyta; Magnoliopsida; Poales; Poaceae.
AAUUCGGAACUCGUUCCUAGGCGAUCACGGUGGCCACGAUAGCAAAAAAUGAUUUAGGCUGUUUGAUCCGUAUCGGACGACUGUUAGUACUUCCGUACGUGGUUAACUGUUCAAUGGUAUACGUGCUUCCUUCCUACAGGUUGCCGACGGCUGAAGUGGAAAAAAAUGUUUGUUUUUCCGAUGACCCCUCGACUUCCACUUCGCCUUCCUCAUUCCUCAGUUCCGUGGCUUUGUCUUCCGCUUCGUUCUUGUCGCCUCCACAGUCUUCCUCUCUGGCUUCAGUCGCUUGUGCCCCAUCUUAGCCGUAGGCAGUAAAAAUCGCCGGCGGCGUUGCUGAGUGCUGCAUCCAAGCCCUAACCACUGAAAAUCGCCGGGUCCGUCGCUUGGGGGUGCAAUGCCAUAGUCAGAUUGGGAGAAGCGCAGGACACUACUCUGACUGUUGUGCCUCGGCUGGAUUAUGAGAAAGAGCUUGCUGCCCUUUCAGACCCAGUUACUUCAGAGAGUUUUUCUGAAAUUGAGGAAAUUACUCGGACUGUUGUGCCUGGGAUCCAUUCUGAAAAAGCGUUGCUUGCCUAUUCUGACGACCUCGCUUCAGAUAGUUGUUGUGAUGCUUAUGCCUCUGAUUGAUUUUGCAAAUUAAGAUCAAAGGCCUCCAUGCCUGGAUCCGUUCGUUGCCCCACCGGAUGUGGCAUCAAGGCAUCCGCUCGCUACGUUGGCGGCGAGGGAUGCGGCAUGCAUGGAUGGGAACGUCUUGUGGAUGUGUGCUUGGUACGUGCUGUUCAUACACUGCAGUUGAGAUCUUGAGGAAACUUUAGUGGUGGCGCUGAUGACUCAGCUCGAUGGCAGGACUGCCUGGUUUGCUAGGUGCUCACCGUCGGCCAGGACUACUACAUACAAGGGAUGCUGGUCAACUUAUCCGAGAUCAGCAACCUCAAUCUAUCUCUGACCUGAAAGUGUGCAUACGAAGAAACCCUCAGAGGCAAGCUGGUUCUAGACAUGAUGAUGAUCAGUUGUGUCGUCUACUCUCUGACUGCAACGCACAGAUGCAUUUACAGUUCAAUUUCCAUGGCUGCUCUACCACAGUUGCUCAUCAUGCCCUGUUGCAGCGUUAGUGUAGUGUCCAUUUUGUUGCUGCUGCUUAUCCUUCCAUUGUCACAAAGGCAAUACAAUCUUUAAUUUCACAUUACUACUAUCCAAGUUCAGUCCUUGGCUUAUUGGAGAAAGGAGAGGGGCUGGGAUAGUUUGUUCUGUUUUUUUGGGUGACUCCUCUGUUUGUUUCUAUAGUAUUUUUUAUAUUUUUCCUAUGCCAUCAACUUGGAGACCAAUUGGAUGAUUUCUUUUAUCCUUUACUUGAUUAUAUGUUCUCUUA